UCGAUAGUCAUUAGUCCCGGGCUUGUG
This 27-nucleotide unclassified non-coding RNA is filed under the name Mus musculus (house mouse). RNAcentral's name for it is "oocyte_clustered_small_RNA3349". Lineage: Eukaryota; Metazoa; Chordata; Mammalia; Rodentia; Muridae. The record is from RNAcentral.